RNAcentral lists this ribosomal RNA (497 nucleotides) under uncultured bacterium. RNAcentral's name for it is "partial 16S ribosomal RNA". It matches the Rfam family "Bacterial small subunit ribosomal RNA", at positions 28 to 507 of the family's 1533-position model. The record is from RNAcentral.
GAUGAACGCUGGCGGCGUGCCUAAUACAUGCAAGUCGAGCGAACGGACGAGAAGCUUGCUUCUCUGAUGUUAGCGGCGGACGGGUGAGUAACACGUGGAUAACCUACCUAUAAGACUGGGAUAACUUCGGGAAACCGGAGCUAAUACCGGAUAAUAUUUUGAACCGCAUGGUUCAAAAGUGAAAGACGGUCUUGCUGUCACUUAUAGAUGGAUCCGCGCUGCAUUAGCUAGUUGGUAAGGUAACGGCUUUCCAAGGCAACGAUGCAUAGCCGACCUGAGAGGGUGGUCGGCCACACUGGAACUGAGACACGGUCCAGACUCCUACGGGAGGCAGCAGUAGGGAAUCUUCCGCAAUGGGCGAAAGCCUGACGGAGCAACGCCGCGUGAGUGAUGAAGGUCUUCGGAUCGUAAAACUCUGUUAUUAGGGAAGAACAUAUGUGUAAGUAACUGUGAACAUCUUGACGGUACCUAAUCAGAAAGCCACGGCUAACUACGUG